This 497-nucleotide ribosomal RNA is filed under the name uncultured bacterium. Its description in RNAcentral is "partial 16S ribosomal RNA". It matches the Rfam family "Bacterial small subunit ribosomal RNA", at positions 28 to 507 of the family's 1533-position model. The record is from RNAcentral.
GAUGAACGCUGGCGGCGUGCCUAAUACAUGCAAGUCGAGCGAACGGACGAGAAGCUUGCUUCUCUGAUGUUAGCGGCGGACGGGUGAGUAACACGUGGAUAACCUACCUAUAAGACUGGGAUAACUUCGGGAAACCGGAGCUAAUACCGGAUGAUAUUUUGAACCGCAUGGUUCAAAAGUGAAAGACGGUCUUGCUGUCACUUAUAUAUGGCUCCGCGCUGCAUUAGCUAGUUGGUAAGGUAACGGCUUACCAAGGCAACGAUGCAUAGCCGACCUGAGAGGGUGAUCGGCCACACUGGGACUGAGACACGGUCCAGACUCCUACGGGAGGCAGCAGUAGGGAAUCUUCCGCAAUGGGCGAAAGCCUGACGGAGCAACGCCGCGUGAGUGAAGAAGGUCUUCGGAUCGUAAAACUCUGUUAUUAGGGAAGAACAUAUGUGUAAGUAACUGUGCACAUCUUGACGGUACCUAAUCAGAAAGCCACGGCUAACUACGUG